CUUUUAACAAUGGAUCUCUUGGUUCUCGCAUCGAUGAAGAACGUAGCAAAGUGCGAUAACUAGUGUGAAUUGCAUACUCGUGAAUCAUCGAGUCUUUGAACGCAGCUUGCACUCUAUGGAUCUUCUAUAGAGUACGCUUGCUUCAGUAUCAUA
Molecule: ribosomal RNA, 153 nt
Filed under: Rhizopus americanus
Lineage: Eukaryota; Fungi; Mucoromycota; Mucoromycetes; Mucorales; Rhizopodaceae
Description: 5.8S rRNA
Rfam family: 5.8S ribosomal RNA
About the family: 5.8S ribosomal RNA (5.8S rRNA) is a component of the large subunit of the eukaryotic ribosome. It is transcribed by RNA polymerase I as part of the 45S precursor that also contains 18S and 28S rRNA.
Source: RNAcentral